UGGAGAUCUAGAUACCGGCAUAAAGACGC
Molecule: non-coding RNA, 29 nt
Filed under: Cricetulus griseus (Chinese hamster)
Lineage: Eukaryota; Metazoa; Chordata; Mammalia; Rodentia; Cricetidae
Source: RNAcentral